RNAcentral lists this ribosomal RNA (495 nucleotides) under uncultured bacterium. RNAcentral describes it as "partial 16S ribosomal RNA". It matches the Rfam family "Bacterial small subunit ribosomal RNA", at positions 30 to 507 of the family's 1533-position model. The record is from RNAcentral.
UGAACGCUGGCGGCGUGCCUAAUACAUGCAAGUCGCGCGAACAGACGAGGAGCUUGCUCCUUUGACGUUAGCGGCGGACGGGUGAGUAACACGUGGAUAACCUACCUAUAAGACUGGGAUAACUUCGGGAAACCGGAGCUAAUACCGGAUAACAUGUUGAACCGCAUGGUUCACCAGUGAAAGACGGUCUUGCUGUCACUUAUAGAUGGAUCCGCGCCGCAUUAGCUAGUUGGUAAGGUAACGGCUUACCAAGGCAACGAUGCGUAGCCGACCUGAGAGGGUGAUCGGCCACACUGGAACUGAGACACGGUCCAGACUCCUACGGGAGGCAGCAGUAGGGAAUCUUCCGCAAUGGGCGAAAGCCUGACGGAGCAACGCCGCGUGAGUGAAGAAGGUCUUCGGAUCGUAAAACUCUGUUAUUAGGGAAGAACAAAUGUGUAAGUAACUAUGCACGUCUUGACGGUACCUAAUCAGAAAGCCACGGCUAACUACGUG